UCAGAUAUCUGAGUGCGAUCAGAUUGUAUUUUGAAUACGAGAUCGAUCUAUGAUGAACGAUUUAGCGGACAAAUUUGAAGGAGUAAGGAUUGAGAGUCAAAUAGAAUCGGUUGAAGAUGUCCGCCAAGGUCAAUCAAGUCAUAAGAAUUCAAAAAGUAGGCGAAGCAAUCAUAGUAGAAUUCAAGGAACUGGUUGGGCUAGCAAUCACAUCAAACGAACUGCUCCCAGAAAUAUGGAAGGCUUUCAAUCCAAUUUUUCUCCAAAAUUUCAACAGCAAUCGAUUUCAAGUUCAGACUCAACCAAGAAACCCGUGGACAUAAUUGACCCUUUCUAUCCAAUCAAGUCUUUCCAUGAAGAGGAGUUGGCUCCUGUUAGAGGGAAAAAUACGGAAUCAUUCACACCUUCUCAUGAACCGGCACAAAUCAGAAUAGUUUGCGCACCAUUUGGUUUAGAUACAUACAAUAGGCUUCAUACACCUCGAGAUGUAGUAGUUGUGCAGAGUUUGUUCGAUUGUAACAGCUAUGAAAUUUAUGAGAACUUAAAAAAUGAAAUUGCAUCAAGCGUCCCCGAAGACGUUUGGGUUCCAUGGCACGGAGAUAGUCAUUUGAUAGCCAACGAUAAGUUAAGCUGGAAGAAAUAUUGUCCUACGUUCAAUAGAGUGUUAGAUGAACUUUGUACUUACUUUAAAAUGGAGGCAAAGGCUACACGAUUGAAUUGGUAUAGGGAUAAUUCAGCAUGGAAGCCAUAUCACCACGACGCAUCGGCUGUGAAAGUGGAUAAAGCAAAUAGCCAGAAUAUUACUGUCGCUGCAUCUUUCGGCGCUGAACGAGAAGUUGCAUUUGAACACGCUAAAACGAAAACUACUUUGUCAUUACCUCUCAUUAAUGGCUCGGUUUACAGCUUUGGGAAAGAAGUGAACAUUUUAUGGAGACAUGGCAUACCCCAGAUGUCAACAAAAAUAAAUACAACUGAUAGAGCAGAGAAAGGGCGCUUUUCAGUGAUUGUGUGGGGUUGGACUCAUCUCGGCCAAACCGACUAAAACUCCAGAACUCAUGUUUUGCUAGCAAUCUUAUCGAUUUCAAAGGUUGCAAAACCUGAAGCUUAUAAACUAGUCUUUAGAUAAAAAUCAAUUUGAACUUUUGCCUUGUUUAUUGACUGUUUUAUUUUUAGUUGAAUUGUACUGUUUCUUUGUUUCAAAACAACCAAUUUCGUGAGACCACUAAAAUAAAUUUAUUUGGAAAGAUUGAAUUAAUCUAAAACAAAGUAAUGACUAAUAA
Long non-coding RNA from Symsagittifera roscoffensis, 1277 nucleotides. RefSeq lists it as uncharacterized. Lineage: Eukaryota; Metazoa; Xenacoelomorpha; Acoela; Convolutidae. The record is from RefSeq and is a predicted model, not a curated record. The transcript is spliced from 2 exons.